GUGCUCGCUUCGGCAGCACAUAUACUAAAAUUGGAACGAUACAGAGAAGAUUAGCAUGGCCCCUGCGCAAGGGAGUGUGCAGAGUACCUAACUGUA
Molecule: small nuclear RNA, 96 nt
Filed under: Rattus norvegicus (Norway rat)
Lineage: Eukaryota; Metazoa; Chordata; Mammalia; Rodentia; Muridae
Source: RNAcentral